RNAcentral lists this unclassified non-coding RNA (257 nucleotides) under fungal sp. RNAcentral's name for it is "partial internal transcribed spacer region". The stretch from base 1 to 46 matches the Rfam family "Eukaryotic small subunit ribosomal RNA", at positions 1786 to 1831 of the family's 1831-position model. Lineage: Eukaryota; Fungi. The record is from RNAcentral.
AAGUCGUAACAAGGUUUCCGUAGGUGAACCUGCGGAAGGAUCAUUACCGAGUUCACGGGGUUCCUUCUCGGGCCCCAAACUCCCACCCCCUGUGUACAUCACCUUGUUGCUUUGGCGGGCCUGCGCCGCAAGAAGGCGCUGCCGGCUCGGCUGGUCCGCGCCCGCCAGAGGACCCCCAAACUCCUGUGUUAAACGUAGCCGUCUGAGCCUGAAACAAAACAAGUUUAAAACUUUCAACAACGGAUCUCUUGGUUCUG